This 253-nucleotide ribosomal RNA is filed under the name uncultured bacterium. RNAcentral describes it as "partial 16S ribosomal RNA". It matches the Rfam family "Bacterial small subunit ribosomal RNA", at positions 524 to 776 of the family's 1533-position model. The record is from RNAcentral.
AACGUAGGAGGCAAGCGUUAUCCGGAGUUAUUGGGCGUAAAGGGCUCGUAGGCGGUUUGUCGCGUCGGGAGUGAAAACUCAGGGCUUAACCCUGAGCCUGCUUCCGAUACGGGCAGACUAGAGGUAUGCAGGGGAGAACGGAAUUCCUAGUGUAGCGGUGAAAUGCGCAGAUAUCAGGAGGAACACCGGUGGCGAAGGCGGGUCUCUGGGCCGUAACUGACGCUGAGGGGCGAAAGCAUGGGGAGCGAACAGG